GUCAUCUCCAUUCACUCCAAUGGACCAUUUUUUACAGCAAUGGUGGAUCAUGGAGCCUCGCAAAUAGUUCCUGGAAGUUAGUAACAGCUGUGCCAGCACCGAAGUUUCAGAUGCACUUUUAGAAGCUCAGCUGAUGACAGAAACAGAGGGAAGGCGGAGGACUCAGAAUGAGACUAAAACGACAAGCUCAGGCAUCUCAGGAUAAUUCAGCCUGAAAACUUUGCACUAAGGCAGCACCCUGACCAUAAGACUCAUAUCCCUGAGUGUUUCAAGCUUAUGAAGCGAACACUAUAUUUGCCAGUAUUUUGGGCUUUGUUUGUAAGAAAAAAUAUUUAUUACUUGAAUAUGAUUUGCU
This is a non-coding RNA of Maylandia zebra (zebra mbuna), 355 nucleotides long. NCBI's taxonomy places the organism in Eukaryota, Metazoa, Chordata, Actinopteri, Cichliformes, Cichlidae. The record is from RefSeq and is a predicted model, not a curated record.